UGCCAGCCGCCGCGGUAAUACGGGGGAUGCAAGCGUUAUCCGGAAUCAUUGGGCGUAAAGCGCCUGUAGGUUGUUUAUUAAGUCUGUGGUUAAAGACUAGGGCUCAACCCUAGGAAAGCAAUGGAAACUAAUAGACUAGAGUAUGGCAGGGGUAGAGGGAAUUUCUAGUGUAGCGGUGAAAUGCGUAGAUAUUAGAAAGAAUACCAGUGGCGAAGGCGGCCUCCUGGAUCUGUACUGACGCUGAGGUGCGAAAGCGUGGGUAGCGAACAGGAUUAGAUA
Molecule: ribosomal RNA, 279 nt
Filed under: uncultured bacterium
Lineage: Bacteria
Description: partial 16S ribosomal RNA
Rfam family: Bacterial small subunit ribosomal RNA
Source: RNAcentral